This is a non-coding RNA of Peromyscus maniculatus bairdii (prairie deer mouse), 1362 nucleotides long. NCBI's taxonomy places the organism in Eukaryota, Metazoa, Chordata, Mammalia, Rodentia, Cricetidae. The record is from RefSeq and is a predicted model, not a curated record.
CCAAUGCCUCAGGGUGCAGCGCUGUGCCUGUCUCCUAUACGGAGCUUGGAUGGGCACUACCAUGGGGAGAUCAUCUUUACUGCAGCCAGAGCACUCCAGUAAAGAAGAGUGAAGGACAGAACUUGUUAGCGCUAUUUCACGUGCUGGAGCCUCCCUUCCCCCCAAGUCUGUAAACUCAAGAUGGGAGACUAAUGGAAAACAUCUUUCUUGGCACGUCGUUCCUCAGAAAUGCGUGGGCGUGAGCGCCAUCUAGCUGUGCUCCGGGUGAUUCUGUGAAUGCCCGGCUUAGAAUGGCCGAACAGGAUCGGGGAAGUGUCCUUUGAUCUGUCAGGAGAAGCUGCAAGCCUGUGGUGUGAGAGCCACUCACAAGGACUGUAUCCGCAGACACCCACUGAAAAGCCAGGGCUCCCUAGGAAGGGAUGGGUGUCCUCGAAAUGUAAAGAGAUGGAAGUCUGCAUGCGAGGGGACAGUUUAAGAUUGAAACACUACUCCAGGGAGCACAAAGCCAACGCCGGGUGUCUUGUGAAGCAGCAGGCAGGUGAUUCUCAAGGGCGAUCAUUAAGGAAGGCCCCUGACCAUGUGGAAGAAGGGUGGAGAGAAAGAUGAGCCUCCAGGAUGACCCGGCUCACCGGCUACCUAGUAACAGAGGAAUGGCGGGAACAAACCCCAGGAUGAGAUCAUCAAAAACCAAAGAGAGAAGAGGCAGAUGGAGAGAAGACUGGUUCCGCGGAGGUGGCGCUGAAUGUCUCAGUUUCUAACCCCCUCUGCCUCCCAUUCCGCCAAGGGUGGAAGAGCAGAGGCUCACAGGUAGGGAGGGGUCAAACUGCCGAGACGGUCAUCACCAGGACCCUUCAGAGCUGGCUCGAUGAGGAGCCAUGAGGAGCCGGCACCGCUGCGAUGCUGGGUUCAUGUUUCACUUGGCUACAUUUGCUGUCUCUCCCACACAGGCAAAACAGGCUCUCUCUCUCUCUCUCCUCUGCCUGUGGAAAUCUACCUGGGAGCUCUGCAGGUCUAAUAGUUGGGCAGCUCCCCCUUUAUCAGAAGCCUUUGGUCACUGCUAGAAAUCGGUCCUAAGUGGGGGAGGGGGUGGCUGCCAAGCCAGAUGAUGUGUGUGGCUCAUACCCAGGCCGCCUUGCUGUUACAGCCCAGAUGGAUACACCGGAGCUGGAGUCCAGGGGCAGUAGCCCCCCCAAAAUGGGAUCCUGCUCUUGAUUCCUCCAUGAAAGGGUUAAUACAAUGCUCAAAUUUCCAAGGGAAUGUGUGCCUCCAAAAUCUCUAAUGUCUCUAAAGAGAGCAUGACCAAUGGAUUUGCAAAUAGUAGGUGCUUAAUAAAUGCUUUAUCACUCAUUUUGAAAAGAGGAA